CGAUGACUCGGGGAUAGCCUUUCGAAAGAAAGAUUAAUACCCGAUGGCAUAGUUCUUCCGCAUGGUAGAACUAUUAAAGAAUUUCGGUCAUCGAUGGGGAUGCGUUCCAUUAGGUUGUUGGCGGGGUAACGGGCCCACCAAGCCUUCGAUGGAUAGGGGUUCUGAGAGGAAGGUCCCCCACAUUGGAACUGAGACACGGUCCAAACUCCUACGGGAGGCAGCAUG
This 225-nucleotide ribosomal RNA is filed under the name uncultured bacterium. RNAcentral's name for it is "partial 16S ribosomal RNA". It matches the Rfam family "Bacterial small subunit ribosomal RNA", at positions 130 to 353 of the family's 1533-position model. The record is from RNAcentral.